GGGCUUAUAGCUUAAUAGAUAAAGCGGCAGACCCUUAAUCUGCAGAAUGGGGGUUCAAGUCCCCUUAAGCCCG
RNAcentral lists this transfer RNA (73 nucleotides) under Promethearchaeota archaeon. RNAcentral's name for it is "Candidatus Lokiarchaeota archaeon (microbial mat metagenome) tRNA-Lys". It matches the Rfam family "tRNA". Rfam says of the family: Transfer RNA (tRNA) molecules are approximately 80 nucleotides in length. Lineage: Archaea; Promethearchaeati; Promethearchaeota. The record is from RNAcentral.